RNAcentral lists this ribosomal RNA (254 nucleotides) under uncultured bacterium. RNAcentral's name for it is "partial 16S ribosomal RNA". It matches the Rfam family "Bacterial small subunit ribosomal RNA", at positions 524 to 776 of the family's 1533-position model. The record is from RNAcentral.
UACGGGGGGGGCAAGCGUUGUUCGGAAUUACUGGGCGUAAAGGGCUCGUAGGCGGCCAACUAAGUCAUACGUGAAAUCCCUCGGCUUAACCGGGGAACUGCGUCUGAUACUGGAUGGCUUGAGUUCGGGAGAGGGAUGCGGAAUUCCAGGUGUAGCGGUGAAAUGCGUAGAUAUCUGGAGGAAUACCGGUGGCGAAGGCGGCAUCCUGGACCGGCAUUGACGCUGAGUGAGCGAAAGCCAGGGGAGCAAACGGG